UUCACAAGGGGAAACCAAGUGGUGGAUGGA
This 30-nucleotide non-coding RNA is filed under the name Homo sapiens (human). Lineage: Eukaryota; Metazoa; Chordata; Mammalia; Primates; Hominidae. The record is from RNAcentral.